CUCAGUAACACGUGGCCAACCUACCCCAAGGAGGGGGAUAACCCCGGGAAACUGGGGCAUAAACCCCCAUAGGUGAUGGGCUCUGGAAGGACCCAUCGCCGAAAGUGUGCCAAGAGGAUGCUCUUGGCACAGCCUUGGGAUGGGGCUGCGGCCGAUCAGGUAGUUGGUGGGGUAACGGCCCACCAAGCCUAUAACCGGUACGGGCCCUGAGAGGGGGAGCCCGGAGAUGGACUCUGAGACAAGAGUCCAGGCCCUACGGGGCGCAGCAGGCGCGAAACCUUCGCAAUGCGCGCAAGCGCGACGAGGCCACCCCGAGUGCCACCCUCGUGGUGGCUUUUGCCCAGUGUGAACAGCUGGGCGAAUAAGCGGGGGGCAAGACGGGUGUCAGCCGCCGCGGUAAUACCCGCUCCGCGAGUGGUGGGGACUUUUACUGGGCUUAAAGCGUCCGUAGCCGGCCCAGCGUGUUCUCUGUUAAAUCCGGCGGCCUAACCGCCGGGCUGCGGAGAAUACUGCUGGGCUUGGGGGUGGGAGAGGCCGACGGUACUCCCGGGGUAGGGGUAAAAUCCACUGAUCCCGGGAGGACCACCAGUGGCGAAGGCGGUCGGCCAGAACACGCCCGACGGUGAGGGACGAAAGCUGGGGGAGCGAUCGGGAUUAGAUACCCCGGUAGUCCCAGCCGUAAACGAUGCGGGCUAGGUGUCACGCCAGCUACGGGCUGGCGUGGUGCCGAAGGGAAACCAUUAAGCCCGCCGCCUGGGGAG
Molecule: ribosomal RNA, 761 nt
Filed under: uncultured crenarchaeote
Lineage: Archaea; Thermoproteati; Thermoproteota
Description: bacterial SSU rRNA
Rfam family: Archaeal small subunit ribosomal RNA
Source: RNAcentral